AGAAACGACUUUUGGAGUUUCAGGAACCUUAGGCAAUUCUAGCUUAGGUAACUCUGGUACUUUAGGAAUCUCGGGUUUUGUCAAUUCAGGAACCUUAGGCUGCUCUAGUUUAGGUAACUCGGGGACUUUAGGGAGGUUGGGUUUUGGCAUUUCGGGAAUCCUAGGCAACUCAGGUUUAGGUAAUUCAGGAACUUUAGGAAACUCGGGUUUUGUCAAUUCAGGAGUUUUAGGUAAUUGUGGCUUAGGUAACUCAGGGAUUUUGGGCAAUUCAGGUUUUGGCAAUUCGGAAACUUUAGAUAGCCUUGGUUCAUGUAACUCAGGGGCUUUAGGAAACUCGUGUUUUUGAAGUUCGGGAACCUUAGGAACCUCCGACUUAGGUAAUUCAGGGGCUUUAGGAAGCUCAGGUUUCGGCAAUUCGGGAAUAUUAAACUUAGGUAGUUCAGGCUUUGACAUUUCAGGUACUUUAGGAAUUUCAGGUUUUGUCAAUUCAGGAACCUUAGGUUGCUCUAACUUCGGUGAUUCAGGGAUUUUAGGUAGUUCGGGUUUUGUCAAUUCAGGAACAUUAAACUUAGGCAGUUCAUGCUUUGGCAUUUCAGGUACUUUAGGAAUUUCAGGUUUUGGCAAUUCAGGAACCUUAGGUUGCUCUAGUUUAGGUGAUUCGGGAAUUUUAGGUAGCUCGGGUUUGGGCAAUUCAGGAACAUUAAACUUGGGUAGUUCAGGUUUUGGCAAUUCGGGCACCUUAGGAAUUUCUAACUUUGGCAUUUCAGGUACGUUUGGUAAAUCAGGUUUUGGCAACUCAGGAACAUUAGGCUUUGGUAAUUCAG
Molecule: long non-coding RNA, 824 nt
Filed under: Medicago truncatula (barrel medic)
Lineage: Eukaryota; Viridiplantae; Streptophyta; Magnoliopsida; Fabales; Fabaceae
Description: long non-coding RNA (MTRU_LNC000267)
Source: RNAcentral